This 245-nucleotide long non-coding RNA is filed under the name Elaeis guineensis (African oil palm). RNAcentral's name for it is "long non-coding RNA (EGUI_LNC045181)". Lineage: Eukaryota; Viridiplantae; Streptophyta; Magnoliopsida; Arecales; Arecaceae. The record is from RNAcentral.
UCCCCCUCGAUUUGAUCAAAGAACUUUAAGUAAUUUCUCAGUUUGCUUCUCUAUCUCACUUCUGAAUUUUUUGAACUUUUCAAAGGCUUCAAAUUUGUGUCUCAUAAGAAACACAUAUCGUACCAUGAAAAAUCAUUGAUAAAGGUGAUGAAAUAGAGAUAACCUCCUCUGACUGGCACAUCAAAUGGGCUGCGCACAUCAUUAUGUACCAAAGUCAGUACCUUAGUGGUCCUUUCUCUAUAUCC